This 771-nucleotide long non-coding RNA is filed under the name Setaria italica (foxtail millet). RNAcentral describes it as "long non-coding RNA (SITA_LNC001397)". Lineage: Eukaryota; Viridiplantae; Streptophyta; Magnoliopsida; Poales; Poaceae. The record is from RNAcentral.
UGGGAUUAAGCUAGUACCUCAGCAGGCUGGGGAGCAGGACCUUUUGUUCGUUUCCUCCGAUCCAUAUAUCACCUUCAGGAGCUGGAUCAGGAUCAAAGCAUGCGAGCCAUUCUUGCAUCGGACAUGAUGUGGCGGCAACCCCGCAUGCUCUGAGAAAGACAUUGGCGCACAUGAGAAAUGCAAGCCGCGCGCAGCUGUAAUUGGGUGAGUUCCUUUUUUUAAGUGUCGUAGCUAAGAUCUGUAUGUCUUUUGCCUUUAGUUUAUCCCUUCACGAGCUCCGCCACCCGUUAUUGAUUUAUUGUGGUGCAUUUCCUUGUGUUUCACACGGGAGUUUAUGCUAUAACAGCUCAGGGCUGCGUGCUGCAUCUUUUAGAUUAUGAUGAGAUACUCCUGGCUGUUGCAUUUGCAUCACGUAGAAUCGAAAGUUUGUUAGAAUAAUCAGGCGCAGAAGACCAUGAAAUUCACGCCAACUUUGUGCUGGGCUGUAGUGGAACAACAGUUUGAGGAUCAGAGUAUAAGAUCCGUGCGCGUUUUUGUUUUUUAUGUGAUGCGAGCGCGUGCAAAAAAAAAAAGAGACAGAUUCAUGUGUGUUGAUUGACUGUCUUGAAAUAAUCCUGUGCAGGUAUGAAACAUGCCGUCCUGUGUAUGCGAUAAUGUUUUUUGAAAAGGCCGUAUGAUAAAUUCUAAGAACAUUGAAAGGAAAUCUUUAAACAGUGUGCGUUUUCACGUGAUUUGUACUUCCACACGAGAUUUCGCGCUUGCAAGGGUACC